UGACGUCGGCGUGACGCCCCGCCCCCCGGCCGUCUCGAUUGGUCCCUGUCAGUAAAGCCCGCCCCCGCCCUACUCUAUUGGUCCCCAACUUAGUCCUGCUGGGCUUCGAGGACACACAGACUCCGCCCCCGCCUCAGCUACCCGAGACCCUGCCUUUCUCACCCCAAGCACAGAGCCCGAGGUCCCCUCAGAUCCUCACAGCCCCCAACGACCGCCCCACAGAUGUCUCAAAGGAACCCUAUCCUCACAAUCCCAGACUCCCCCGGACGUACGCACAGAUCUCCGCAGAUCCUACCCAAACACUCGCUCACAGAGAUCCCGCAACACACACCCCACUUUUCAGAAGUAAACCCUCUGGGCUCGCCCCCUCGAGGCCCAAUGCAAGCCCCUCAGGAGACCUUACCCACCGGGGAGGUGACCAGACCGCCGUUGCCACGGAGACUACUAGGCGUUCCGGUUGCCCUGGUGACCGGCGCCUACUCUCCUGGCCCGGGUUCCGGAGGCUUCAGUCAAGACCCUCCCUCAUUGGCCCUAGACCCCUUGUCCCUACCCACUUCCCCAGGUCAUGCCAGAGCUCCUUUGCGAAGUUCUGCAGAUAUCCAAGUCCCCUUCCCAGAUAGCAGACUUUCAGGCAAGGCAUUUCAACACUCAACACCUGCAGCUGAGGCACAUCCACAACCAAGAGCCUUUCCUCCCUGAGGAUCAACACCUCCCCCUGCCAUCCUAAGUCAAGGUCUUGACCUAAGGACUUGUAACAACCAAGCCAAAGCCCAGAGCUACUCGGGAGGCUGAGGCAGGAGAAUCACUUGAACCCGGGAGGCGGAGGUUGCAGUGAACCGAGAUUGCGCCACUGCACUCCAGUCUGGGCAACAGAGCGAGACUCCAUCACAAAAAGAGAAGAGAAGAGAAGGCCAGCAGGCAGAUGGAAGCAGAUGAGAUCAUAGAAGAGCCUCAUACCACCAUGGAUGCAGAGAAGCACCCCCCUUCAAAAGACCCCUCUGCUGAGGACUUACAGGAGAACCAUAUCUCUGAAAGCUUCUUGGAGCCUUCCACCUCUGAGACCCCGUUAGAGCCCCAUACCUCUGAAUCCCCUUUGGUGCCAUCCCCUUCCCAGAUCCCCUUAGAGGCCCAUUCCCCUGAAACCCAUCAGGAGCCUUCCAUCUCUGAGACUCCUUCAGAGACCCCUACCUAUGAGGCUUCAUUGGAUAGUCCCAUCUCAGUGGUGCCAGAGAAACACCUUACUCUUCCUCCCCAAUCACGAGACUAUGUCUGUCUGUCUUCUUCUGAUACUCUGAAGGAAGACCUCUCCUCUGAGUCUUCUUCCAAUGAGGUCCCAUGGACAAGGAGGUCUACCCAUCUCUCUGAAUCUGAGAGCCUUCCAGAACACUGUCUUUCAGGCCCUUCAGCCCAGGUCCAAGUGGACACAACCGAAAAGCAGGAGGAAGAAGCAGGAGAGGUUGAAAAGGGAGUAGAUGCCAGUGACAGCACUGCUCACACAGCCCAACCUGGACACCAACUAGGCAAGAAGAAGAAGAAGAAAGGAGUUAGCUGUAACACAGCCCGCCCAGUGUUCCCUGCUAGGCAGACAGAGCUGGUGGAAGUGGCUAAGGCAAUGCAUAGAGAGGAGUUUGGUGCUCAGGUGAACAAUCUUUUCCAGUGGGAGAAGGAUGCAGCCCUGAAUGCCAUCCAGACAGACAGAAUUCAGAACUCCUCUAGUGGAAUCCUGGCUCCCGCCCACCUGCAUUGUGACUGCCUAUACCUUGCUCUCUCAACAAAGCCUCCCUGGUGUAAGGGGGCACUGGCACUACAGGCAAUCAGCAUCAAGACCGAAGAAGCAAAGCCAAAAGCCACAUCUAGACAGGCUUUAGAUCCUGACAGACUAUGGGUCUCUACAUUGGCUGGCGCUGCCCCCAUUACCUAUGGGACUGUUUCCGGAUUGGGGAUGAGUCCAGAUGCUUUUGUGGACACUUGUUGAGAGAGCACCGGAUCAUCUCAGACAUAUCGGUGCCCUGCAAGGUAAGCCAGUGCCGCUGCUUCAUGUUCUGCUUUAUCCCAUCACGCCCAGAGGAGGUGGGUGAGUUCUGGCUCAAGAGACGGGCCACCUUUGACCCCAAGGCCUGGAGGGCCCAAUGUCGCUGCAAACACAGCCACGAAGAACAUGCAGCCACUGGGCCCCAUCCCUGCAGGCAUCAUGGCUGUUGUUGCGGCUGUUUUGAGUCUAAUUUCCUCUGUGCGGCCUGUGACCGGCGCUGGGAGGAACACGAGACUUUCUUUGACACCCAGAAGACCCGGCAACGAGGAGGAAGGCCUCGCGGGACAGACACUGUCAGCAACUGGCACAGGCCUUUGUGAGUCUGGCCCAGAUCAGCAAUAAAAGAGGAGUCAUUGGAA
Molecule: RNA transcript, 2391 nt
Organism: Pan troglodytes (chimpanzee)
Lineage: Eukaryota; Metazoa; Chordata; Mammalia; Primates; Hominidae
Gene: FAM221B
Gene name: family with sequence similarity 221 member B
Exons: 9
Source: RefSeq, a predicted model, not a curated record